CCAACGCCUCCUUUAUGAAUAUGUUAUUAUGAAAAGCUUCUCUCACAUCGACCUAUCUUUAAAAGCAAGUCCUUCUCUUUGUGGAUAAGUUGUUAGAUUUUAGUUAAACCAAAGGAGUAAAAUACUAAACACACUUCACUCUUUGAUAAUGAUUUUUAUGAGCUUGUUACUUUUAGAGGAUAAUCUGAAGUGUAUGGGCCUGUCUUUUAUAUUUUGGGAGGUGGCAAUAAAAACGACAGAAGUGAGGAUGCUGAAUGCACCCAGCAACGUGAUAUUCUAAUAUUUCAGAACAAGUAAUAAGCAAAUGUUACUUUUUUCUUUUUCUUUUUUUUUUUACACCGAGAAGCCCAGCAUAGGUGGGGUAACGGACUCCUGUGGCUUUGAAUAUCUUUACGUGAGCCAGCCUGACCACUGGUGUUGAGCCACGAGGAGUUGAAGAGCAAGGUUCAAUGACGAGGGGAGUAGCCUAUGGCUGCAUCCUGCUCUGGCUGCUAGAACAAAGUUUGCCCGCCUGGAAAAAACGUCCCACCAACUUGAUCGAGAAAGUGGCACGUAAACAACUUAUCAGCAGCACCGUUGGAUUUUGUUAACUGGGGGUAAGUUGUUCGUGAUUUGGCUUUGGUUGUAAUUACGCACUGAUGGCAGUUUUGCGCAAAAAAAUCAACAAAUUCGGUAGAGAUGCUCCAAUUGAAAUGUCUCGUCUGCUUGUUUUCAUGUGAUCUGCACUGAAAGACAUUUUCUCCAAAAAGCACUGCACUUGCAUUCGCGCGCUCGUCCCUGGCAUCUCCGUGCGCGUGCACGGACACCGAGGAAGACAGCCCGAGCAACUGCAGCCUAAAUGUCAGCGCUGCGUCACUGUAUUUCUUACAAACUGGGCUGGAGACUUUUUGGUUAUUAGUUUUUCGCGCAGACCAUGUCAUUCUGUUGCUACGAGGCAGCCACAUCCAUCUUAAAGUAUCACCUCCUUCGUAUUACCUCUGAAUCCCCUCUAUUGUUUGCCCACCGCAGAGCUCUUUGUUCAUGCAUGCUGCAUAUGAGUAUUCAAAGGAUAUCGCAUAUUUACAUCAUUCAGAUAAAGAUACGUGUACAUGGGGAGAUCACGGUGCCGUAUAUAACAUGUCAGCGUGAUCAACAUGACAUUAGCCUACAAUUUGAAUAUGAAGACAGAAAUUUAAGGUAAUAAAUAUCAUCGCUACGACAGGAUACACAAGAGCGUUGCAUGUAUCUACGCGCAAAAUCAUGUUAGAAUAGGUCGAAAUCAACAGCAAGCUGCAAGUCUGCAAUGCAAAUCUACUCACUGAAUAUGCAUCAAUAUUAAAAAUAAUACGCACACCAGAGCCAACGGCGUCGGAGAAUUGAGAAUGGCGGAGCGGGUCGUCUCAUUACGCAUGGACGGUUUUUCCACGCAGGAGCCACGGUUUCCCCUUUUCUCUUCAUGUCUCUCCCUUCCGUCCCGCUCACAUUAAGGAAGCGUCUUGUGAUGGAGAGAAAGAGCUGUGAAGAAGAAGUGCAGGCAGCAGGAAGUAGAGGUCAACACCAGAUCUCUGGGAUUUUGCUCUCCACUGGACCCACAUGAGGUUGGAUGGACACGUCAUUGAUUGUGACCCAUAAACAAGUGGCAUAAUGACUGGAGUCUCCACACUAAAGACGUCAAGGAUAUUCAGCUGAUCUCAGAGGUGGAUGAUUCUCCUGAUCAAGUGGAAAGGAGCCUGAAUUUCAGCAAGAAAGAACCAUCAAGAUAUAUCUCACAUGCUUUAGUGACAAUCUCACUAUGACCUGCACUGUACUUUAUAUUUCUGUAUUUCUGUCAACUAGUUCUAAGAUUGUUGACCAAACUGACAAUCCUCUCAACAAUGGACUGAAAAUAGUCAAUCCAACAAAUUCUUUGACUUUGCUCCAAUAGGCAUCAAUGUAUUUAUUUUUAAAUUUUUAUACGGGAGAACACUUCCCAAAAUAAGAUAAAAAUAUUCCACACAUUAAAACUUGCACCUAUUUCAUGUAAUUGAUUGAGUCUAACAAGGAUAUUUUUUGACAGCUAAAUAAAGACUUUUUUCUCCCUUUAA
Long non-coding RNA from Amphiprion ocellaris (clown anemonefish), 2063 nucleotides. NCBI's taxonomy places the organism in Eukaryota, Metazoa, Chordata, Actinopteri, Pomacentridae. The record is from Ensembl.